RNAcentral lists this ribosomal RNA (460 nucleotides) under uncultured bacterium. Its description in RNAcentral is "partial 16S ribosomal RNA". It matches the Rfam family "Bacterial small subunit ribosomal RNA", at positions 338 to 795 of the family's 1533-position model. The record is from RNAcentral.
CCUACGGGGGGCUGCAGUGAGGAAUAUUGGUCAAUGGGCGCGAGCCUGAACCAGCCAAGUCGCGUGAGGGAUGACGGCCCUACGGGUUGUAAACCUCUUUUGCCGGGGAGCAACUGGCGCCACGUGUGGCGUCACCGAGAGUACCCGGAGAAAAAGCAUCGGCUAACUCCGUGCCAGCAGCCGCGGUAAUACGGAGGAUGCGAGCGUUAUCCGGAUUUAUUGGGUUUAAAGGGUGCGUAGGCGGACCGUCAAGUCAGCGGUAAAAUUGCGGGGCUCAACCCCCUCCCGCCGUUGAAACUGGCGUUCUUGAGUGGGCGAGAAGUAUGCGGAAUGCGUGGUGUAGCGGUGAAAUGCAUAGAUAUCACGCAGAACUCCGAUUGCGAAGGCAGCAUGCCGGCUUCCGACUGACGCUGAAGCACGAAAGCGUGGGGAUCGAACAGGAUUAGAUACCCCGGUAGUC